This 460-nucleotide ribosomal RNA is filed under the name uncultured bacterium. Its description in RNAcentral is "partial 16S ribosomal RNA". It matches the Rfam family "Bacterial small subunit ribosomal RNA", at positions 338 to 795 of the family's 1533-position model. The record is from RNAcentral.
CCUACGGGUGGCAGCAGUGAGGAAUAUUGGUCAAUGGCCGGAAGGCUGACCCAGCCACGUCGCGUGAGGGAAUAAGGCCCUAUGGGUCGUAAACCUCUUUUGUCAGGGAGCAAAGGCGUCCACGUGUGGACGAGAGGAGAGUACCUGCAGAAAAAGCAUCGGCUAACUCCGUGCCAGCAGCCGCGGUAAUACGGAGGAUGCGAGCGUUAUCCGGAUUUAGUGGGUUUAUAGGGUGCGUAGGCGGAGUGUUCAGUCAGCGGGAAAAUUUCGGGGCUCAACCCCGUCGUGCCGUUGAAACUGACGACCUUGAGUGAGGGAGAAGGAAGCGGAAUGCGUGGUGUAGCGGUGAAAUGCAUAGAUAUCACGCAGAACGCCGAUGGCGAAGGCAGCUUACCGGCGCUCAACUGACGCUGAGGCACGAAAGUGUGGGUAGCGAACAGGAUUAGAUACCCCUGUAGUC